GGAGAGUGUUAGAGCGGGUUAGAGUCCCAAUUGGUUAGGGAAUAGACGGGUGGUCGGUCUCUUUGUAUGGACUUGGACAAUCUUUCCCUCAAGAGCUAGUUUGGAGGUUGAGUUAGGCACAAGUGCCAUAUUUCACCUAUGCCUUUCACUAUGUGUUUUGUCUUAAUAAACUUUCCUCGAAUACGACAUUGUUGCAAUGUAAAGUAAUGGUACUUGGAUGCCCU
Molecule: unclassified non-coding RNA, 224 nt
Filed under: Hevea brasiliensis (rubber tree)
Lineage: Eukaryota; Viridiplantae; Streptophyta; Magnoliopsida; Malpighiales; Euphorbiaceae
Source: RNAcentral